Molecule: ribosomal RNA, 497 nt
Filed under: uncultured bacterium
Lineage: Bacteria
Description: partial 16S ribosomal RNA
Rfam family: Bacterial small subunit ribosomal RNA
Source: RNAcentral
GAUGAACGCUGGCGGCGUGCCUAAUACAUGCAAGUCGAGCGAACAGAUGAGGAGCUUGCUCCUCUGACGUUAGCGGCGGACGGGUGAGUAACACGUGGAUAACCUACCUAUAAGACGGGGAUAACUUCGGGAAACCGGAGCUAAUACCGGAUAAUAUAUCGAACCGCAUGGUUCAAUAGUGAAAGACGGUUUUGCUGUCACUUAUAGAUGGAUCCGCGCCGCAUUAGCUAGUUGGUAAGGUAACGGCUUACCAAGGCAACGAUGCGUAGCCGACCUGAGAGGGUGAUCGGCCACACUGGAACUGAGACACGGUCCAGACUCCUACGGGAGGCAGCAGUAGGGAAUCUUCCGCAAUGGGCGCAAGCCUGACGGAGCCACGCCGCGUGAGUGAUGAAGGUCUUCGGAUCGUAAAACUCUGUUAUUAGGGAAGAACAGAUGUGUAAGUAACUAUGCACGUCUUGACGGUACCUAAUCAGAAAGCCACGGCUAACUACGUG